CACAGCACGCACGUCCCCUCCCCACGCCAACACGCAUGAAAAGUGCACACAUCGUGCACGUCUCGUCAGUGCGCAUGGCGCAGGAUCAAGACCUAUGCUCAGCAUCCUGUCACGCGCAGGUGGGCUGUCCGCACGUCACUACAUGCGUGGACUAGCAUCGCACAUUGUGCGUGCACUGUUCGCACAGCAGGCUUGUGCAGAUAUGCCCUGUGCGCUUGGGGCUUGCGCAUAGUAGGCCUGCGUGCACAGAGCCCAGUACACCAAGGCCCUACACCUGCGCAGGCUAGCCCCUGCGCGCGUAGCAGCAGGCCUGUGCCCCUGCAGGCUAGGCUGCAGCGUGCCGACCUGGCACUACCACCUCAAGCAGUGCACCGCUAUUGCCUUGGGUGUCGUGUUGCCACUGUUAGUGGAGGAAAAUUUUCUCCCUCAUUUUUGGUGCCAAGAAUCCUUUUCUCCUCUCUCUUCACUGGAUUUCGACACUUGGUGUGAAUCCAACAGUUCUAAAAUUUUAUAAAUUGCCCUUCCCCUUCCCUUGCUCUCCACACUUCUAUUUUUUUCAUUUUUCAAAGUUUUAGAGAGAGAAAGAGAGAGAGAUAGUAAAAUAGUGAGAGAAGAAGAGAAAGAAAGGAAAAUGGUGAAGAAGGAAGCAUUAAGGUUUCGGUAAGGAAUCUAAUAUUACUUUCGACGUCUUAAGGAAUAUUUUUAGAUAAGAAAAUUUAAUAUAAUUGUUAUUUUGUUUGUUUUGCAUGCCUAUGUGUUCAAAUGAGUCAAAUUGUUCUUAUUUUUAAGCAUGCUAUAUGAAUUGUUGAUAUUUGAUGAACUCACCGGUAAUAAAUAUAAUAUAUAGUCUGUAAUAAUAAAAGUAAAAAGAAAAGAAAAAGAGAAAAGUAGAAUGCAGCAUGUGGGGUCUGAAGCAUAUCUGUAUUGAUAUGCAUAUUGCAUCAAGUAUUUCGUUAGCCUUUUUUUCUCUGAGGGGUAUCUAUUCCCCUUGCCCUUUGGGCUAUCUUUUUUCCCCUCCUGUAUCUGGUCUAAAAAGACGUAAGAGGACUGCUCCUAUUGGAUGAUGG
Molecule: long non-coding RNA, 1067 nt
Filed under: Carica papaya (papaya)
Lineage: Eukaryota; Viridiplantae; Streptophyta; Magnoliopsida; Brassicales; Caricaceae
Description: long non-coding RNA (CPAP_LNC001102)
Source: RNAcentral